Molecule: transfer RNA, 74 nt
Filed under: Candidatus Bathyarchaeota archaeon
Lineage: Archaea; Thermoproteati; Candidatus Bathyarchaeota
Also listed under: 1 other name
Description: tRNA-Ala
Rfam family: tRNA
About the family: Transfer RNA (tRNA) molecules are approximately 80 nucleotides in length. Their secondary structure includes four short double-helical elements and three loops (D, anti-codon, and T loops).
Source: RNAcentral
GGGCCGGUAGCUCAGCCUGGAAGAGCGUCUGCCUUGCACGCAGGAGGUCGCGGGUUCAAAUCCCGCCCGGUCCA